RNAcentral lists this ribosomal RNA (451 nucleotides) under uncultured bacterium. RNAcentral's name for it is "SSU rRNA". It matches the Rfam family "Bacterial small subunit ribosomal RNA", at positions 26 to 518 of the family's 1533-position model. The record is from RNAcentral.
AGGAUGAACGCUGGCGGUGUGCCUAAUACAUGCAAGUCGAACGAGAUCUUCGGAUCUAGUGGCGGACGGGUGAGUAACACGUUGGUACCUACCCCUAAGUGGGGAAUAACUGCCCGAAAGGGUGGCUAAUACCGCAUAAUCCCGCAAGGGUAAAGCAGUAAUGCGCUUAGGGAGGGGCCUGCGUCUGAUUAGCUAGUUGGUAGGGUAAUGGCCUACCAAGGCGACGAUCAGUAGCUGGAUCGAGAGGUUGACCAGCCACACUGGGACUGAGAUACGGCCCAGACUCCUACGGGAGGCAGCAGUAAGGAAUCUUCCACAAUGGACGAAAGUCUGAUGGAGCAACACCGCGUGCAGGAUGACGGUCUUCGGAUUGUAAACUGUCUUUUAUAGUGGGAAUAUUAUGACGGUACCAUAUGAAUAAGGACCGGCUAACUACGCGCCAGCACGCCGC